Lycium barbarum (goji berry) is the source of this 1213-nucleotide RNA transcript. RefSeq lists it as uncharacterized. The record is from RefSeq and is a predicted model, not a curated record. Lineage: Eukaryota; Viridiplantae; Streptophyta; Magnoliopsida; Solanales; Solanaceae. The transcript has 2 exons.
AAUAGCGGGGAAGAUGAAUUCUGGAUCGCUCUCCCUUAUAGUGAGUCCUCGAAACACUCAGCCUGGUAGUGAUAAAAAUGAUACGACUGCGGAAGGGGUUGAUAAUGUGGUGAAGGAUUUUGUGGAUGAUAAAAAUGAUAAGACUAUGGAUGGUGGUGACUAGGGUUUCUCUAAAAUCACCGAAGAUUUUACUGACAGUCUGAAUGCUUCAGAAUGUAAAAACAGUGGGGAUGAGUUAACUGAUAACAUUGAGGAGUUCGAUUGGUCUGAUAUACCUGAUAUCGAAUUCUCAAAAGUUACCGAACCCGGCAGCGGUAAAAAUCUAAUCGAGAGAGCGGAUAAAAAUCUUGUUGUUACAAAGUUAGAGAGACCCCGGAAACCAGCUAAGGCAUGUGAAUCACCAUAUGUGACAAAUUUUGAAUUUAGUGGUAGUAGCGUUCAAGGUCUUGUUUCGCCUCCAACUAAGCGCAUUUUCUCUACAAAGCACCCCUUCGAAGCAAUUGUUGAACUUGCUAUUGAUUUCGAGUUGUUAAAAAAGUUCAACAAUUUUGUUAAUCCGUCGAUACGAGUGAAGGAAAAGUAAUGCUUUGUUUCUGUUUUUUCCACUUUAUGCAUCUUUUUUCCCACUUUAUGCUUCUGUUCUUGUGUUUUUGUCCACUUUAUGCUUUUCAUUUGAUUUUUUCUUUAUCAUGAAUUCUUACAGGCUUGUUUAUCCAGAAAAAGUUAUAAGCUGAAAAAGAUUUUUGACUUUGGAGUUGCAUCUAUUGGAGAAAGAGAAUGGUUCCUCAUACUUGCAUAUCCAGGGCAACCACUAAGUGAUUUAGGACUGUGGUAUAUUUGCUGCUGUUUUUGCUGAGUACCUGAUUCAAGGCAUUGAAAUCCCCAAACAUUUAGAUGAUAUUGAUGCUUUGCGGAGCCGAUAUAGGAUACUGCUAUUGGAUUAUGGAAAAAAGAAACAAAGUAGAAACGCAGUUAGUGAUGACGAGUCUACUGGUAGAUUGAAGCAUGGAGUGAUUUGAAGAAGAAUUAGAUUUUAGAAUAGUUGCAAAUGUAGUAGGUGACAUAUGUUAAUGCAGAUACAAUUGCAUAGUUUUUGUUGAAGAAUAUGUUUGGAUUUUACCUAUGUUGGAAUAUCAUGUCAAUGCGUAAAACUCAGUGUGUUAAUAUCAUUCGCCUUAUUCAAUAUCAUUUUAUUCAACAUAUUUUAUUGGUU